ACGGGAGAGAUUUGAGUGGCUAGAAGCGGAUCCAAUACCUCCAUGCGACGCGAAGGCAUUAUCAGGGUCGUGCGGUCCAGUUUCCGGCCAAUCCAUGGUAAGGCGCAGUCACCGGCGGUUAGAAGCGCCAAAUCUGGUGGCGGCGGCGGCAACAGAUCCACCGGUUUUGCGUCAGCGACGGGAUGAGGAAACAAAAAUCCAAGUGACCAAGGACUGCGAUGAAGACUGCAAAGUGUCCCCGGCAUGCGGGUGCCUGCAGGCAAUGGGAGGGACGGCGCCGGCGCAGAUGCAGCACGGGAGUGGAGCGGGGGAGGCAGAGGGGGAAUGGAGAAUUUUUGUUCAACCGUCGAG
Molecule: long non-coding RNA, 351 nt
Filed under: Hordeum vulgare
Lineage: Eukaryota; Viridiplantae; Streptophyta; Magnoliopsida; Poales; Poaceae
Description: long non-coding RNA (HVUL_LNC012808)
Source: RNAcentral